GCAGAGUAAGUAUUCGCGAGUCACGUGCCGGUGAAACGGGGAGUUGUUCAUUGGACGAAGCAAAUUCUUUGCGCUGUGCGUUUACUGCAUCCCGCUGC
This 98-nucleotide non-coding RNA is filed under the name uncultured Oribacterium sp. RNAcentral describes it as "THF riboswitch". It matches the Rfam family "THF (Tetrahydrofolate) riboswitch aptamer". Rfam says of the family: THF riboswitch presents a pseudoknot that joins P1-P2 and the loop of P3 and two THF binding. The record is from RNAcentral. Lineage: Bacteria; Bacillati; Bacillota; Clostridia; Lachnospirales; Lachnospiraceae.